Long non-coding RNA from Orbicella faveolata, 305 nucleotides. NCBI's taxonomy places the organism in Eukaryota, Metazoa, Cnidaria, Anthozoa, Scleractinia, Merulinidae. The record is from RefSeq and is a predicted model, not a curated record.
UUGUAUCAGAAUCUGAUACGUCAACAACUCGUGCGUAAAUAUCGUACGCGCGCACUUUCCACGAAGUAAUCUAUUUUCGUUUUUUCUUGUUUAGGAGGACGAUCCGUUACCAGGCUGGACAACGUCCGGCCAAAGGAUUCAUCAAUGUUCUGACCCCGGAGACGAACACAGCCCAAUAGUGGGUGUUGCUUGCCCACUAUCCUACGACGGAGAUCGUCAGGAGCCUGACGUAGAUGCAGCAAUCAUAAUAUUUAUAAUAAUGUAUCUUAUAUUCAAGAUGUAAAUAAAUUUGCUUUCACUUCUGA